GUUAUAGACCUUGUUAGCCCAAUGCAAUUUGUCAAGUAGUGCCUCUACUUGGCAAGUGUGGAGACGUGGAGACAUAGAAUAAUUUAAAAAGUUUUCAUUUUCUGUCUUUUUUUUUCGGUCUUGCUAGUCACACUACCUUUAUUAUAAAUAUCAUUAGUUUAUGUACGUGAUGAAGGCAAUAUAAAAAUGGUUAAAAUAACUUCACAAGUUGCUCUGGUACUAUUUUUGGUUCUUCUUUUUCUUCUUCUAAUCAGGGGACAAGGUGAAUCGUUCCAAUCCCCGGUUACGUCACGUAUUGGCGCAUUACCUUCAAAUUCACGUAGAGGUCAAGGUCCGUAGCAAAAUCUUCUCAAUAAACGAAGGAGAAGAGAUGAGUAGUAGCUUAAAGUUGCAUCUUCAAAUAAUGUCUACUAGUUUUAAAACAAAUUAUGGAUGGAACAGUACGAGUUUGUUCAUUGUUGUAGCCUUCAAUGUCAAAUACCUUCUAAGGGUUAUGUGAUCAUAAUAUAUAAAGUCUUGUAUCAUAAUGUCAAAUACACAAUGUCUUGUACAUCUGGUGAAUAAAUUCUGUAUCAUCCGUUCUGGACUUGAAUAAAAUAUUUCCUAUUGAGACAAUCAUCCCAAUUCUCAACAAUGGUGAAUUUCAAUAUCUACCUACGCGAAAGAGAUGAAGUUCUGAUUUUAUACUGACUGAAACUACAUAACUUACUACAAGAAAAAGAGUCAUUACUCCCUAAUGCAUAUGGUUCCUUAACAACCCAUUUGCUUGUGACUCCCACGUAGG
Long non-coding RNA from Arabidopsis thaliana (thale cress), 784 nucleotides. RefSeq annotates it as other RNA. The transcript has a single exon. The record is from RefSeq. NCBI's taxonomy places the organism in Eukaryota, Viridiplantae, Streptophyta, Magnoliopsida, Brassicales, Brassicaceae.